Molecule: ribosomal RNA, 502 nt
Filed under: uncultured fungus
Lineage: Eukaryota; Fungi
Description: eukaryotic LSU rRNA
Rfam family: 5.8S ribosomal RNA (bases 138-291)
Source: RNAcentral
ACUCCCAAACCCCUGUGAACAUACCACUUGUUGCCUCGGCGGAUCAGCCCGCUCCCGGUAAAACGGGACGGCCCGCCAGAGGACCCCUAAACUCUGUUUCUAUAUGUAACUUCUGAGUAAAACCAUAAAUAAAUCAAAACUUUCAACAACGGAUCUCUUGGUUCUGGCAUCGAUGAAGAACGCAGCAAAAUGCGAUAAGUAAUGUGAAUUGCAGAAUUCAGUGAAUCAUCGAAUCUUUGAACGCACAUUGCGCCCGCCAGUAUUCUGGCGGGCAUGCCUGUUCGAGCGUCAUUUCAACCCUCAAGCACAGCUUGGUGUUGGGACUCGCGUUAAUUCGCGUUCCUCAAAUUGAUUGGCGGUCACGUCGAGCUUCCAUAGCGUAGUAGUAAAACCCUCGUUACUGGUAAUCGUCGCGGCCACGCCGUUAAACCCCAACUUCUGAAUGUUGACCUCGGAUCAGGUAGGAAUACCCGCUGAACUUAAGCAUAUCAAUAAGCGGAGG